GACGAACGCUGGCGGCGUGCCUAAUACAUGCAAGUCGAACGCAUUUUCUUUCACCGUAGCUUGCUACACCGAAAGAAAAUGAGUGGCGAACGGGUGAGUAACACGUGGGUAACCUGCCCAUCAGCGGGGGAUAACACUUGGAAACAGGUGCUAAUACCGCAUAAUUCCAUUUACCGCAUGGUAGAUGGGUGAAAGGCGCUUUUGCGUCACUGAUGGAUGGACCCGCGGUGCAUUAGCUAGUUGGUGGGGUAACGGCCUACCAAGACUGCGAUGCAUAGCCGACCUGAGAGGGUGAUCGGCCACACUGGGACUGAGACACGGCCCAGACUCCUACGGGAGGCAGCAGUAGGGAAUCUUCGGCAAUGGACGCAAGUCUGACCGAGCAACGCCGCGUGAGUGAAGAAGGUUUUCGGAUCGUAAAACUCUGUUGUUAGAGAAGAACAAGGAUGAGAGUGGAAAGUUCAUCCCUUGACGGUAUCUAACCAGAAAGCCACGGCUAACUACGUG
Molecule: ribosomal RNA, 507 nt
Filed under: uncultured bacterium
Lineage: Bacteria
Description: partial 16S ribosomal RNA
Rfam family: Bacterial small subunit ribosomal RNA
Source: RNAcentral